Molecule: ribosomal RNA, 450 nt
Filed under: uncultured bacterium
Lineage: Bacteria
Description: bacterial SSU rRNA
Rfam family: Bacterial small subunit ribosomal RNA
Source: RNAcentral
GUGGGGAAUUUUGGACAAUGGGCGCAAGCCUGAUCCAGCAAUGCCGCGUGCAGGAAGAAGGCCUUCGGGUUGUAAACUGCUUUUGUCAGGGAAGAAAUCUUCUGGGCUAAUACCCCGGGAGGAUGACGGUACCUGAAGAAUAAGCACCGGCUAACUACGUGCCAGCAGCCGCGGUAAUACGUAGGGUGCGAGCGUUAAUCGGAAUUACUGGGCGUAAAGCGUGCGCAGGCGGCUUUGCAAGACAGAUGUGAAAUCCCCGGGCUCAACCUGGGAACUGCAUUUGUGACUGCAAGGCUAGAGUACGGCAGAGGGGGAUGGAAUUCCGCGUGUAGCAGUGAAAUGCGUAGAUAUGCGGAGGAACACCAAUGGCGAAGGCAAUCCCCUGGGCCUGUACUGACGCUCAUGCACGAAAGCGUGGGGAGCAAACAGGAUUAGAUACCCGAGUAGUCC